AUCCAUUCCAUGUUUCAUAACUGGAAUAUACUGUAUACGUGGCAUAUUGAUAUUGCAUCCCAGUUUUGUAUUGACCAAAAUAGUGAUGGUUCCUUGAAUCUCCCUAAUAUAUGUUUUGUGAUCAAAGCGUUAACCACACACAGAUAGGAGGAAUGCAAUUCAAUACAAGUAUGGCAUGUUGAAACACGGGUGGAGGAUAGGUGUCAAUUGGACUGGG
This is a non-coding RNA of Pelobates cultripes (western spadefoot toad), 217 nucleotides long. The record is from the annotation of a GenBank genome assembly. Lineage: Eukaryota; Metazoa; Chordata; Amphibia; Anura; Pelobatidae.